GAUGAAGAACGUAGCGAAAUGCGAUACGUAAUGUGAAUUGCAGAAUUCAGUGAAUCACCGAGUCUUUGAACGCACAUUGCGCCCCCUGGUAUUCCGGGGGGCAUGCCUGUCCGAGCGUCAUUGCUGCCCUCAAGCACGGCUUGUGUGUUGGGCCUCCGUCCUCCUCCCGGGGGACGGGCCCGAAAGGCAGCGGCGGCACCGCGUCCGGUCCUCGAGCGUAUGGGGCUUCGUCACCCGCUCUUGUAGGCCCGGCCGGCGCUUGCCGACACAUCAAUCUUUUUUCCAGGUUGACCUCGGAUCAGGUAGGGAUACCCGCUGAACUUAAGCAUAUCAAUAAGCGGAGGA
Molecule: unclassified non-coding RNA, 345 nt
Filed under: soil metagenome
Description: partial contains 5.8S ribosomal RNA, internal transcribed spacer 2, and large subunit ribosomal RNA
Rfam family: 5.8S ribosomal RNA (bases 1-120)
Source: RNAcentral